UUCCAGUUUGGGAGCCAUGCAGCUGGAGGCACUGCGGGGAGCAGAUGUUCCAGUUUGAUGUUCCUCCCUGGGUCUCCAGCUGCACGGCCAUCAAACUGGAACAUCAGCUCCCCGGCCCUCAAACCGGAACAUCAGCUCCCCGCCGGAUCUCCAGCUGCACAGCUGUCAACAUCAGCUCCUCCCCGAGUCCUCAGCUGCACGACCCUCAAGUUAGAACAUCAGCUUCUCCCCAAGUCUUCAGCUGCGUGACCCUCAAUCUAGAACAUCAGUUCCUCUACAGGUCUGCAGCUGCAAGACCCUCAAUCUAGAACGUCAGCUCCUCCCUGAGUCUCCAGCUGAAACACCCUCAAAACGAACAACAUCAGCUCCUCCCCAAGUCUUCAGCUGCACGACGCUCAAUCUAGAACAUCAGCUCCUGUCUGGUUCUCCAGCUGCAUGACCCUCAAACUACAACCUCAGCUCUUCCCCGAGUCUUCUGCUGCAUGACCCUCAAUCUAGAACAUAAGCUCCUCUCUCGGUGUCCACCUGUAGUGACCUCAAAUUAGAACGUCAGCUCCUCCCAGAGUCUUCAGCUGCAUGACCCUCAAUCUUUAACAUCAGCUCCUCUCCGGGUCUGCAGCUGCAUGACCCUAAAAAUACACGAACAGCUCCUCCCUGAAUCUUCAGCUGUACGACCCUCAAACUACAACAUCAGCUCCUGUCUGCAUCUCUAGCUGCAGGGCCCUCAAACUAGAAUAUCAGCUCCUCCCCGAUUCUUCGCCUGCAUGACCCUCAAACUAGAACAUCAGCUCCUGUACAGAUUUCCAACUGUAGGGCCCUCAAACUAGAACAUCAGCUCCUCCCCAAGUCAGCAGCUGCAAGACCCUCAAAUUACCACCUCAGCUCCUCCCGGAGUCUUCAGCUGCACGACCCUCAAUCUCGAAGAUCAGAUACUCUCCGGGUCUUCAGCUGUAGGGCCCUCAAACUAUAACAUCAGCUCCUCUCCAAGUAUUCAGCUGCACGACCCUCAAUCUCGAACAUCAGCUCCUCUUCAGGUCUGCAGCUGUAGGGCCCUCAAUCUAGAACAUCAGCUCCUCCCUGAGUCUUCUGCUGCACGACCCUCAAACUAGAAUCUCAGCUCCUCCCGAGUCUUCAGCUGCACGACCCUCAAACUAGAACCUCAGCUCCUCCCUGAGUCUUCAGCUGCAUGACCCUUAAUCUAGAACAUCAGCUCCUCCCCGAGUCUUCAGCUGCACGACCCUCAAUCUAGAACAUCAGCUCCUCUCCAGGUUUGCAGCUGCAAGACCAUCAAACUACAACAUCAGCUCCUCUCCAGGUCUGCAGCUGCAAGACCCUCAAACUAGAACAUCAGUUCCUCCCCGAGUCUUCAUCUGCAUGACCCUCAAACUAGAACAUCAGCUCCUCUCCAGGUCUCCAGCUGCACGACCCUCAAAGUAGAACAUCAGCUCCUCUCCGGGUCUGCAGCUGCAAGAUCCUCAAACUAGAACAUCAGCUCCUCUCCAGGUCUGCAGCUGCAAGACCAUCAAUCUAGAACAUCAGCUCCUCUCCAAGUGUGCAGCUGCACGACCCUCAAUCUAGAACAUCAGCUCCUCUCCAGGUCUGCAGCUGCAAGAACCUCAAACUAGAACAUUAGCUCCUCUCCAGGUCUCCAGCUGCACGACCCUCAAACUAGAACAUCAGCUCCUCUCCAGGUCUGCAGCUCCACGACCCUCAAUCUAGAACAUCAGCUCCUCCCCGGGUCUUCAGCUGCAUGACCCUCAAUCUAGAACAUCAGCUCCUCUCUGACUCUGCAGCUGGAAGAUCCACUAACUAGAACAUCAGCUCCUGUCUGGGUCUCCAGCUCCAUGACCCUUAAUCAAGAUUAUCAGCUCCUCCCUGAGUCCCCAGCUGAAAGACCCUCAACACGAACAACAUCAGCUCCUCCCAAAGUCCUCAACUGCAUGACCCUCGAACUACAACAUCAGCUCCUCCCCGAGUCUUCAGCUGCAUGACCCUCUAUCUAGAACAUCAGCUCCUCUCCAGGUCUGCAGCUGCAAGAACCUAAAAUUAGAACAUCAGCUCCUCUCUUGGUCUGCAGCUGGAAGAUCCACUAGCUAGAACAUCAGCUCCUGCCUGAGUCUCCAGCUCCAUGAACCUCAGUCAAGAUUGUCAGCUCCUCCCUGAGUCUCCAGCUGAAAGACCCUCAACACGAACAACAUCAGCUCCUCCCGAAGUCCUCAACUGCAUGACCCUCAAACUACAACAUCAGCUCCACCCCGAGUCUUCAGCUGCAGGACUCUCAAUCUAGAACAUCAGCUCCUCUCCAGGUCUGCAGCUGCACGACCCUCAGUCUAGAACAUCAGCUCCUCCCCAGGUCUGCAGCUGCACGACCCUCAAUCUAGAACAUCAGCUCCUCUACAGGUCUGCAGUUGCAAGACCCUCAAACUAGAACAUCAGCUCCUCUCCGGAUCUGCAGCUGCUAGACACUCAAACUAGAACAUCAACUUCUGUCCAGGUCUCCAGUUCCGUGACCCUAAAUCUAGAACAUCAGCUCCUCCGAGUCUCCAACUGAAAGACCCUCAACGCGAACAACUAAAGCUCCUCCCCAAGUCUUCAGCUGCACGACCCUCAAUCUAGAACAUCAGCUCCUCUACAGGUCUGCAGCUGCACGACCCUCAAACUAGAACAUCAGCUCCUCUCCAAGUGUGAAGCUGCACGACCCUCAAUCUAGAACAUCAGCUCCUCUCCAGGUCUGCAGCUGCAAGAACCUCAAACUAGAACAUUAGCUCCUCUCCAGGUCUCCAGCUGCACGACCCUCAAACUAGAACAUCAGCUCCUCCCCGGGUCUGCAGCUGCACGACACUCAAACUAGAACAUCAGCUCCUCUCCAGGUCUGCAGCUGGGAGACCCUCAAACUAGAACAUCAGCUCCUCCCCGGGUCUGCAGGUGCAAGACCCUCAAUCUAGAACAUCAGCUCCUCUCCAGGUCUGCAGCUGCAAGAACCUAAAACUAGAACAUUACCUUCUCUCCAGGUCUCCAGUUCUAUCACCCUAAUUCUAGAACAUCAGCUCCUCCCUGAGUCUCCAACUGAAAGACCCUCAAUGCAACAACAUCAGCUCCUCCCCAAGUCUUCAGCUGCAAGACCCUCAAACUAGAACAUCAGCUCCUCCCCGGGUCUGCAGCUGCAAGACCCUCAAUCUAGAACAUCAGCUCCUCUCCAGGUCUGCAGCUGCAAGACCCUCAAUCUAGAACAUCAGCUCCUCUCCGGGUCUGCAGCUGCAUGACCCUCAAUCUAGAAUAUCAGCUCCUCUCCAGGUCUGCAGCUGCACGACCCUCAAUCUAGAACAUCAGCUCCUCCCCGGGUCUUCAGCUGCAUGACCCUCAAACUAGAACAUCAGCUCCUCUCCGGGUCUGCAGCUGCAUGACACUCAAACUAGAACAUCAGCUCCUCCCCGGGUCUGCAGCUGCAUGACACUCAAACUAGAACAUUAGCUCCUCCCCAGGUCUGCAGCUGCAGGACCCUCAAGGUAGAACAUCAGCUCUUCCCCGAGCUAAAACACCUCUCCCACCUGGAUCUCCAGCUCCACGAGUCUCACAGAACAGCCACACUGGCUCCUUCGUUGUCUUCAGCUCCACAACCUAAGACAUCAGUGGGAGCACCGGCUCCUCCCUGGACCUCCAGCUCAACGACUCUCAUAGACUUAAAAGGCAGCACCUGCUCCUCCCCAAGGCUCCAUCUCCACCACCCUCAGAUUUGAACAGCGGUAGCACCACCUCCUCUCCAGGUCUUCAGCCCCACGUCCCUCCCUGAACAAUCCCUUCUCAUGAAAUUCAGCAGUCAAGAAAUCUGCAGCGGAAGUAAAUGAAUAAAUGUUUUGUUUUCAAAUUGAUAUCUCUUUUAUGUUCAUGAGUUAACUUUUCUACUUUCCAUUAGCCUUGCA
Molecule: long non-coding RNA, 3920 nt
Filed under: Homo sapiens (human)
Lineage: Eukaryota; Metazoa; Chordata; Mammalia; Primates; Hominidae
Description: PREDICTED lncRNA (TCONS_00190232)
Source: RNAcentral